UGGUGGAGUGAUCUGUCUGGUUAAUUCCGAUAACGAACGAGACUCUCCCCUGCUAAAUAGUCGGCUGGAUCUUGCUAGGUGAGUUGUACGCCGGGAUUUUCCUGAGCUCGAGCCCAGCGUUGUCGUUGCGUGUGCGGCGUUUCCGUUUCGGCGGUUGCGUUUGCUGCGCGCUCGCGCGCCGGUGUCUUGGGCCCCGGGUGCCCGGACCGUGCACUCCAAGUCCGUCGCUUAAGCUA
This 236-nucleotide ribosomal RNA is filed under the name uncultured eukaryote. RNAcentral describes it as "partial 18S ribosomal RNA". The record is from RNAcentral.